GCGCGAAAGCGUGGGGAGCAAACAGGAAAAGAGCCCUGGUAGUCCACGCUGUAAACGAUGAAUACUAGGUGUGGGGGGACUGACCCCCUCCGUGCCGCAGUUAACACAAUAAGUAUUCCACCUGGGGAGUACGAUCGCAAGAUUGAGACUCAAAGGAAUUGACGGGGGCCCGCACAAGCAGUGGAUUAUGUGGUUUAAUUCGACGCAACGCGAAGAACCUUACCGGGAUUUGACAUCCUACUAACGAAGUAGAGAUACAUUAGGUGCCCUUCGGGGAAAGUAGAGACAGGUGGUGCAUGGUUGUCGUCAGCUCGUGUCGUGAGAUGUUGGGUUAAGUCCCGCAACGAGCGCAACCCCUAUUGUUAGUUGCUACGCAAGAGCACUCUAGCGAGACUGCCGUUGACAAAACGGAGGAAGGCGGGGACGACGUCAAAUCAUCAUGCCCCUUAUGUCCCGGGCUACACACGUAAUACAAUGGCGGUCAACAGAGGGAAGCGAAGCCGCGAGGCAGAGCAAAUCCCCAAAAGCCGUCUCAGUUCGGAUUGCAGGCUGCAACUCGCCUGCAUGAAGUUGGAAUUGCUAGUAAUCGUGGAUCAGCAUGCCACGGUGAAUACGUUCCCGGGCCUUGUACACACCGCCCGUCACACCAUGAGAGUCGGGAACACCCGAAGUCCGUAGUCUAACCGCAAGGAGGGCGCGGCCGAAGGUGGGUCUGAUAAUUGGGGUGAAGUCGUAACAAGGUAACC
Molecule: ribosomal RNA, 746 nt
Filed under: uncultured bacterium
Lineage: Bacteria
Description: bacterial SSU rRNA
Rfam family: Bacterial small subunit ribosomal RNA
Source: RNAcentral